This 253-nucleotide ribosomal RNA is filed under the name uncultured bacterium. RNAcentral describes it as "partial 16S ribosomal RNA". It matches the Rfam family "Bacterial small subunit ribosomal RNA", at positions 524 to 776 of the family's 1533-position model. The record is from RNAcentral.
UACGUAGGGGGCAAGCGUUGUCCGGAUUUAUUGGGCGUAAAGAGCGUGUAGGCGGCCUGAAAGGUCAGCUGUGAAAACUCGAGGCUCAACCUCGAGACGUCGGUUGAAACCAUCUGGCUAGAGUCCGGAAGAGGAGUGUGGAAUUCCCGGUGUAGCGGUGAAAUGCGCAGAUAUCGGGAAGAACACCCGUGGCGAAGGCGGCACUCUGGGGGCGCCCUGACGCUGAGGCGCGAGAGCGUGGGGAGCAAACCGG